RNAcentral lists this long non-coding RNA (651 nucleotides) under Glycine max (soybean). RNAcentral describes it as "long non-coding RNA (GMAX_LNC002529)". Lineage: Eukaryota; Viridiplantae; Streptophyta; Magnoliopsida; Fabales; Fabaceae. The record is from RNAcentral.
AGAGAAUCUGUGAGGGAAUAUCCUCAAUCCAGACUAAAUCCGCAAAAGAAAAAGCAAUCCUAACUAGACGAUUUGCAACAAUGUUUUCUGUCCUUCUAGUAUGAACAAGGCAUGAAUUGUUUCUAUGUCCCAAGAGAUACUCACAAUCUUGCAGAAUACCAUCAAAGUAUGUACAUUUAUCCACACUUCCAUUCUUCCAAGCUAGAGAAUUCUUGGCAAUCAGUCUCAAAUAGAAGAAGGUAAUGGAGAGAGAGUUGUUGAAUUAGCUGAAUAGUCCAUCUGAAAGUCAUUGUUUCUGCAAUUUUCGGAGUAAAACAUUGGUGAUUCACACAAGUAGCUGCUGCUAGCACCUGUCCAUAGCAAUCCCGAAAAAUGACCCCAUCCCUGUGCCCUUGCCAGCUUGCCGCCACAAGAGUGCACUUAUAAAGCAAAUUUUGACAAUUCAAACUUUGUUGUCCUUGUUGAAAAAAAAUAAAAUCUGCAUCAUUGAGCUAAAAGCUCAUGUAAAAUGGCCAAUGGAACUAAGCCUUGAUUAUUCUUGGAAAUUCAUCAGCUAAUAACAAAUAAAUUAAAACAUUUUGAAAAAGAAUAUGCUUCUUGCUAUUUAUUUUAUUUAUUUAUCUUUUAUUAUGGAUAGUUUGUACUUGAGAU